GAUGAACGCUGGCGGCGUGCCUAAUACAUGCAAGUCGAGCGAGCAGAUGAGUAGCUUGCUCCUCUGACGUUAUCGGCGGACGGGUUAGUAACACGUGGAUAACCUACCUAUAAGACUGGGAUAACUUCGGGAAACCGGAGCUAAUACCGGAUAAUAUAUUGAACCGCAUGGUUCCAUAGUUAAAGACGGUUUUGCUGUCACUUAUAGAUGGAUCCGCGCCGCAUUAGCUAGUUGGUAAGGUAACGGCUUACCAAGGCGACGAUGCGUAGCCGACCUGAACGGGUGAACGGCCACACGGGAACUGAGAAACGGUACAGACUCCGACGGGAGGAAGCAGUAGGGAAUCUUACGCAAUGGGAGAAAGCGUGAUGGAGCAAAGUCGCGUGAGUGAUGAAGGUCUUAGGAUAGGAAAACUCUGUUAUUAGGGAAGAAGAAAUGUGUAAGUAACUAGGAACGUCUUGACGGUACCAAAUCAGAAAGCCACGGCUAACUACGUG
This 497-nucleotide ribosomal RNA is filed under the name uncultured bacterium. RNAcentral's name for it is "partial 16S ribosomal RNA". It matches the Rfam family "Bacterial small subunit ribosomal RNA", at positions 28 to 507 of the family's 1533-position model. The record is from RNAcentral.